UACGUAGGUGGCAAGCGUUGUCCGGAAUUGUUGGGCGUAAAGCGCGCGCAGGCGGUCCUUUAAGUCUGAUGUGAAAGCCCACGGCUCAACCGUGGAGGGUCAUUGGAAACUGGGGGACUUGAGUGCAGAAGAGGAAAGCGGAAUUCCACGUGUAGCGGUGAAAUGCGUAGAGAUGUGGAGGAACACCAGUGGCGAAGGCGGCUUUCUGGUCUGUAACUGACGCUGAGGCGCGAAAGCGUGGGGAGCAAACAGG
This 253-nucleotide ribosomal RNA is filed under the name uncultured bacterium. Its description in RNAcentral is "partial 16S ribosomal RNA". It matches the Rfam family "Bacterial small subunit ribosomal RNA", at positions 524 to 776 of the family's 1533-position model. The record is from RNAcentral.